AUCAGCCGCGGUAAUUCCAGCUCCAAUAGCGUAUAUUAAAGUUGUUGCAGUUAAAAAGCUCGUANUUGAAUUUCGGGGUUUGUCCAUUGGUCGGGCUUUAUUGUCCGUACUGGUGUGAUGAAUUCCUACCUUCUGAAUAACCUUCAUGCCAUUAAUUUGGUGCGUUGGGGAAGCAGAGCUGUUACCUUGAAAAAAUUAGAGUGCUUAAAGCAGGCAAGUGCCUGAAUACAUUAGCAUGGAAUAAUGAAAUAGGACGGCAUGGUUCUAUUUUGUUGGUUUCUAGGAUCACCGUAAUGAUUAAUAGGGAUAGUUGGGGGCAUUAGUAUUCAAUUGUCAGAGGUGAAAUUCUUGGAUUUAUUGAAGACUAACUUCUGCGAAAGCAUUUGCCAAGGAUGUUUUCAUUAAUCAAGAACGAAAGUUAGGGGAUCGAAGACGAUCAGAUACCGUCGUAGUCUUAACCAUAAACUAUGCCGACUAGGGAUCGGACGAUGUUAAUUUUUUAAUGACUCG
This 510-nucleotide ribosomal RNA is filed under the name Acaulospora sp. Aco1. RNAcentral describes it as "SSU rRNA". It matches the Rfam family "Eukaryotic small subunit ribosomal RNA", at positions 569 to 1078 of the family's 1831-position model. The record is from RNAcentral. Lineage: Eukaryota; Fungi; Glomeromycota; Glomeromycetes; Diversisporales; Acaulosporaceae.